This 1489-nucleotide ribosomal RNA is filed under the name Lactiplantibacillus plantarum. Its description in RNAcentral is "bacterial SSU rRNA". It matches the Rfam family "Bacterial small subunit ribosomal RNA". Lineage: Bacteria; Bacillati; Bacillota; Bacilli; Lactobacillales; Lactobacillaceae. The record is from RNAcentral.
GACGAACGCUGGCGGCGUGCCUAAUACAUGCAAGUCGAACGAACUCUGGUAUUGAUUGGUGCUUGCAUCAUGAUUUACAUUUGAGUGAGUGGCGAACUGGUGAGUAACACGUGGGAAACCUGCCCAGAAGCGGGGGAUAACACCUGGAAACAGAUGCUAAUACCGCAUAACAACUUGGACCGCAUGGUCCGAGCUUGAAAGAUGGCUUCGGCUAUCACUUUUGGAUGGUCCCGCGGCGUAUUAGCUAGAUGGUGGGGUAACGGCUCACCAUGGCAAUGAUACGUAGCCGACCUGAGAGGGUAAUCGGCCACAUUGGGACUGAGACACGGCCCAAACUCCUACGGGAGGCAGCAGUAGGGAAUCUUCCACAAUGGACGAAAGUCUGAUGGAGCAACGCCGCGUGAGUGAAGAAGGGUUUCGGCUCGUAAAACUCUGUUGUUAAAGAAGAACAUAUCUGAGAGUAACUGUUCAGGUAUUGACGGUAUUUAACCAGAAAGCCACGGCUAACUACGUGCCAGCAGCCGCGGUAAUACGUAGGUGGCAAGCGUUGUCCGGAUUUAUUGGGCGUAAAGCGAGCGCAGGCGGUUUUUUAAGUCUGAUGUGAAAGCCUUCGGCUCAACCGAAGAAGUGCAUCGGAAACUGGGAAACUUGAGUGCAGAAGAGGACAGUGGAACUCCUUGUGUAGCGGUGAAAUGCGUAGAUAUAUGGAAGAACACAAGUGGCGAAGGCGGCUGUCUGGUCUGUAACUGACGCUGAGGCUCGAAAGUAUGGGUAGCAAACAGGAUUAGAUACCCUGGUAGUCCAUACCGUAAACGAUGAAUGCUAAGUGUUGGAGGGUUUCCGCCCUUCAGUGCUGCAGCUAACGCAUUAAGCAUUCCGCCUGGGGAGUACGGCCGCAAGGCUGAAACUCAAAGGAAUUGACGGGGGCCCGCACAAGCGGUGGAGCAUGUGGUUUAAUUCGAAGCUACGCGAAGAACCUUACCAGGUCUUGACAUACUAUGCAAAUCUAAGAGAUUAGACGUUCCCUUCGGGGACAUGGAUACAGGUGGUGCAUGGUUGUCGUCAGCUCGUGUCGUGAGAUGUUGGGUUAAGUCCCGCAACGAGCGCAACCCUUAUUAUCAGUUGCCAGCAUUAAGUUGGGCACUCUGGUGAGACUGCCGGUGACAAACCGGAGGAAGGUGGGGAUGACGUCAAAUCAUCAUGCCCCUUAUGACCUGGGCUACACACGUGCUACAAUGGAUGGUACAACGAGUUGCGAACUCGCGAGAGUAAGCUAAUCUCUUAAAGCCAUUCUCAGUUCGGAUUGUAGGCUGCAACUCGCCUACAUGAAGUCGGAAUCGCUAGUAAUCGCGGAUCAGCAUGCCGCGGUGAAUACGUUCCCGGGCCUUGUACACACCGCCCGUCACACCAUGAGAGUUUGUAACACCCAAAGUCGGUGGGGUAACCUUUUAGGAACCAGCCGCCUAAGGUGGGACAGAUGAUUAGGGUG